UCCCACGUUUUCCCUCCAGGGAGAGAUGACACAGAAAGUUUUCCUCCUGAAGUCCAUGUUUUGAGGGAUGCUCUGCCCUGCUCCUGAUCUUUGAGGAUGCCCAUUCCAGGUUUUUCUUUAUCUGCAAUUCCCACAGGUGCCUCGGGACUUUCUUUUGCAUCCUUGGGAAGAGGAAAAAGUUCCCAGUGGAUACUGGAACAUCAUAAAAUACAAUUAUUAAUAAUAAUAAUUAUUGUUAUUAUUAUUGUUA
This is a long non-coding RNA of Corvus hawaiiensis (hawaiian crow), 250 nucleotides long. RefSeq lists it as uncharacterized. Lineage: Eukaryota; Metazoa; Chordata; Aves; Passeriformes; Corvidae. The transcript is spliced from 2 exons. The record is from RefSeq and is a predicted model, not a curated record.